CGGGGACCCGCGGCCGCGCGCACGCUCACUCCCGCCCGGGACGCUAGAGCUGGUCCCGGGCGAGCGGCGCUCGGGCGCGUGGGAGUGAGGAGCCCGGACGCCUCACACUCGAGAAGCUACGGUUAAAAGGACUCCAGAUAAUUACAACCUAUGUUAUCCCACCUAUCUGUUCCUAAGGAUAGGAUUUUCUGCCCUGGUCUUUGACCUCCUGAUCACUGUGGGCCUAAGAGUUCUGUUUGGCCUGCUCCUAAAGACUUCAAGCCUUGGACUUGCUGUGGAUGUGAACCAGUCUAGCUGAUGUGGACACCUCCUGUCUCUUCAACAGUCUGACAACCAGCUGCUUCUGAUGGAUUCCCCAUUGCCUGAAUUCCCUUUUUGCUUUUAACGAGCACUUCAGCCUUCUUAGGUCCCUAACAAUGCCCCAGAGUCAGCAGGAAGUAAAAUGGGAAAGCAUAUGUUGCCCCUUUUCCCUGAUUGAGAUGCUAAGUCAAAAAGGAAACUCCCUUAUAUAGGGGACAAUAUGACAACAGAAGCAAAUGUCAUUCCCUCAGAAAAAUCUGUCAGCUAAUGGCAGGACCUGUUAACACCCCUUUGAGCCCCUAACAGGCAGGACUCAAUCCUGAGUCCUGCCACUGGUACUUUGAGAAGGGGGAAUGAAGGGACUAUACCGCACCACCACGUUUUAGCAGCCAUGACAGGCUAACAGGUGCUUGCCUGACCUUGCUGGACAUGUCAUGGUCACCAGGAGGUCAGAUGCCCACCUUGUUGCAAGGAACCAAUCAAAAGUUAGCUGACAGAGCUGUGCUUUACAGCUCGGCUCUGGGUGUGUUUUACAGACAAGUGCACAACAGCGAUGUGAAAAGCAUAGCAACCGCCCAAGGAGGGCCUAUGGGUCAUAACAACCAGUUGACCAAUCAACACCGGGUAGGCCAUCCAAGCCUGGAAGUACACGAAUCCUGAGACAACACUCCCCUUAGGCUGCCCUAUAAGAUCCCUUCCUCGUGGUUUCUCAGGAUCGUUCUCCAACCAUCUGCCAUAGUGGAGAGAUGAAGGGCCCGAAUUAAUGGAGUUAGUUUGUUAAACAACAGCAAUAAAAGACACAUUGCUUUUGCAUCGAAAUGGGCCUGUUGGUGAUUUGGGGGUUUCAGAAUUUGGGCACAACUGUACGCCAAGUGACUAAGCAGCAUUCAUUCAUGGCCUCUGCUUUGGUUCUUGCCUCUGGGUUCUGCCUCCAGGUUCCUGCCUUUGAGUUCCUGCCCAGAUUUACCUUCACAAUGGAC
This 1280-nucleotide long non-coding RNA is filed under the name Cricetulus griseus (Chinese hamster). RNAcentral's name for it is "lncRNA (ENSCGRG00015035100.1)". Lineage: Eukaryota; Metazoa; Chordata; Mammalia; Rodentia; Cricetidae. The record is from RNAcentral.